This 443-nucleotide ribosomal RNA is filed under the name Tardigrada environmental sample. RNAcentral describes it as "SSU rRNA". It matches the Rfam family "Eukaryotic small subunit ribosomal RNA", at positions 87 to 531 of the family's 1831-position model. The record is from RNAcentral. Lineage: Eukaryota; Metazoa; Tardigrada.
CUGCGAAUGGCUCAUUAAAUCAGAUAUAGUUUGUUUGAUGGUAUCUGCUACUCGGAUAACCAUAGUAAUUCUAGAGCUAAUGCGUGCAUCAAACCCCGACUUCUGGAAGGGAUGCAUUUAUUAGAUAAAAGGUCGACGCGGGCUCUGCCCGUUGCUGCGAUGAUUCAUGAUAACUCGACGGAUCGCACGGCCCUCGUGCCGGCGACGCAUCAUUCAAAUUUCUGCCCUAUCAACUUUCGAUGGUAGGAUAGUGGCCUACUAUGGUGGUGACGGGUGACGGAGAAUUAGGGUUCGAUUCCGGAGAGGGAGCCUGAGAAACGGCUACCACAUCCAAGGAAGGCAGCGGGCGCGCAAAUUACCCAAAGGGGACACGGGGAGGUAGUACAAUAAAUNCCCCUUUUAGGGGUUCGAGUCUGGUAAUUGGAAUGAGUACAAUCUAAAUC